UAAUUACUCCAUCCGUCUCAAAAUUUUUGUUUUAGAUUUGUCUAAAUACGAAUGUAUCGAGACAAAUCUAAGACAAGAAUUUUGGGACGGAGGGAGUACUAA
Non-coding RNA from Triticum urartu, 102 nucleotides. The record is from Rfam. NCBI's taxonomy places the organism in Eukaryota, Viridiplantae, Streptophyta, Magnoliopsida, Poales, Poaceae.